This 496-nucleotide ribosomal RNA is filed under the name uncultured bacterium. RNAcentral's name for it is "partial 16S ribosomal RNA". It matches the Rfam family "Bacterial small subunit ribosomal RNA", at positions 29 to 507 of the family's 1533-position model. The record is from RNAcentral.
AUGAACGCUGGCGGCGUGCCUAAUACAUACAAGUCGAGCGAACAGACGAGGAGCUUGCUCCUCUGACGUUAGCGGCGGACGGGUGAGUAACACGUGGAUAACCUACCUAUAAGACUGGGAUAACUUCGGGAAACCGGAGCUAAUACCGGAUAAUAUAUUGAACCGCAUGGUUCAAUAGUGAAAGACGGUUUUGCUGUCACUUAUAGAUGGAUCCGCGCCGCAUUAGCUAGUUGGUAAGGUAACGGCUUACCAAGGCAACGAUGCGUAGCCGACCUGAGAGGGGGGCGGGCCACGCGGAACGUGAGACAGGGUCGAGCCUCCAGCGGGGGGAAGCAGGAGGGAUUCUCCCGAAAGGGGGGAAGGCCGGAGGGAGAAGCGCCGCGUGAGUGAUAAAGUUCUUCGGAUCGAAAACCUCUGUUAUUGGGGAAAAAAAAAUGGGUAAGUAACUAGGCGCGCCGUGAGGGUCCCUAAUCAGAAGGCCACGGCUAACUACGUG